GUAGGGAAUAUUGGACAAUGGGGGGAACCCUGAUCCAGCCAUGCCGCGUGGAGGAAGACUGCCCUCUGGGUUGUAAACUCCUUUUAUAUGGGAAGAACCGUCCUCAUUAAUGAGUGACCUGACGGUACCAUAGGAAGAAGCACCGGCUAACUCCGUGCCAGCAGCCGCGGUAAUACGGAGGGUGCAAGCGUUAUCCGGAUUCACUGGGUUUAAAGGGUGCGUAGGCGGAUAAAUAAGUCAGUGGUGAAAUCAACGGGCUCAACCUGUUAACUGCCAUUGAUACUGUGUAUCUUGAAUAUGAGAGAGGUAGGCGGAAUGUUGCAUGUAGCGGUGAAAUGCUUAGAUAUGCUACGGAACACCGAUUGCGAAGGCAGCUUACUAUUUCGUAAUUGACGCUGAGGCACGAAAGCGUGGGUAGCGAACAGGAUUAGAAACCCCGGUAGUCC
RNAcentral lists this ribosomal RNA (446 nucleotides) under uncultured bacterium. RNAcentral describes it as "partial 16S ribosomal RNA". It matches the Rfam family "Bacterial small subunit ribosomal RNA", at positions 354 to 796 of the family's 1533-position model. The record is from RNAcentral.